Molecule: non-coding RNA, 884 nt
Organism: Lactuca sativa (garden lettuce)
Lineage: Eukaryota; Viridiplantae; Streptophyta; Magnoliopsida; Asterales; Asteraceae
Source: RefSeq, a predicted model, not a curated record
CAUUAAUCCAAAGAAAAAAAAUAAAUACUCUUAAUCACUUAAUGAAUGGAACCGCAGGCCUCUCGUAGAAGUUGGUGUCAUUUGUAUCCAUAUUCCAAGUAACAUAUCCUCAAAGUUUUAAAUUUGAGUUGCAUCACAAGGCAGGUGGUUCAGGAGUUAGAUAUGUCGGGUAAUAUGUCCGGUGAUUUCUCAGUUUUAUUGGUAGUGGUUCUUUUGUGGUCAUGACUAAUUCUAGUAAAUAGAACAACCUUGCUCCUAUUAAAAAUGAAUAUUGUUGCUAUAUUCAUCUCACGGAUGGCUCCAAUAAUGCUAUGUCGAUCCUUGCAAGAUUUUGUGUGGCUUCUCUCGGUUUCAGAGUGGAUGUACAACCUGUGAUGGAAACAAGAAAGGUCAGAAGUGUUAUCGGCUGAGAACCCAGUAAUACUCUCUGAUUCAUAAGUUAGACACGUAGUCGCGAUAUUACUAUGAAACAUUGUGAGUAUAUUUAGAAACGUGACUUGUGUUUUCCUUUUUCCUUGUUUGUUAGUGUUGCGUGGUUUAUAUAGGUGGUACAUGGGUAAGGUAAUUGAUCUUCCCUAUAUGCUUUCUAAAGUCGACGUCUUAUCUUAGCUGAAUCAUAUCAACUCGUGUAGUGGUGUUCAAAGAAAGUGUUUUGUUGUUGUCAUUCUUACCUCAUUCUGGUUUAUUUGGAGGUUUCGUAUGCCACAUUAUUUCAACCUAUUAUGUGUAAACAAGUUUAUCUUUGUUUGAGAAAAUCAUUACGUAGUCAUUCUUUUGGUUUUUUUAAUGUAAAUAUUGUAUUAAAAAACUAGCAGGUGCUAGGCAAAACAAAGUAUUAUAUGGAGUUUAUUGCAAUAAAAAGGGUUUGAAACUAAACAAAACAA